This 460-nucleotide ribosomal RNA is filed under the name uncultured bacterium. Its description in RNAcentral is "partial 16S ribosomal RNA". It matches the Rfam family "Bacterial small subunit ribosomal RNA", at positions 338 to 795 of the family's 1533-position model. The record is from RNAcentral.
CCUACGGGUGGCAGCAGUGAGGAAUAUUGGUCAAUGGACGAGAGUCUGAACCAGCCAAGUAGCGUGAAGGAUGACUGCCCUAUGGGUUGUAAACUUCUUUUAUAUGGGAAUAAAAUGUUCCACGUGUGGGAUUUUGUAUGUACCAUAUGAAUAAGGAUCGGCUAACUCCGUGCCAGCAGCCGCGGUAAUACGGAGGAUCCGAGCGUUAUCCGGAUUUAUUGGGUUUAAAGGGAGCGUAGGUGGAUUGUUAAGUCAGUUGUGAAAGUUUGCGGCUCAACCGUAAAAUUGCAGUUGAAACUGGCAGUCUUGAGUAGAGUAGAGGUGGGCGGAAUGCGUGGUGUAGCGGUGAAAUGCUUAGAUAUCACGCAGAACUCCGAUUGCGAAGGCAGUUCACUGGACUGCAACUGACACUGAGGCUCGAAAGUGUGGGUAUCAAACAGGAUUAGAUACCCGAGUAGUC